RNA transcript from Chiloscyllium plagiosum (whitespotted bambooshark), 233 nucleotides. RefSeq lists it as uncharacterized. The record is from RefSeq and is a predicted model, not a curated record. Lineage: Eukaryota; Metazoa; Chordata; Chondrichthyes; Orectolobiformes; Hemiscylliidae.
CAAUAAAGAUCAUUGCUCAUUUCAGAGGCAAGGAGUACAGCAAAGUCUUCCUGGAUUAUAACACUCUGGAGGAUGUCUAUAACUGGCUGCUCCAAGAAAUCUGUAAAACCGGACACUUCCCAAGUAACCUACUGCUGAAACAUGGCUCAAAAGAGCUUCCUCUUAAAGCAAACACCAAGGACAUCCCAGUAACAGACAUCACCAGUCCAUUGGAAGUGGAAGAACAAAAAAGG